RNAcentral lists this unclassified non-coding RNA (144 nucleotides) under uncultured fungus. Its description in RNAcentral is "sequence contains ITS1". Lineage: Eukaryota; Fungi. The record is from RNAcentral.
CCGUGGGGAUUCGUCCCCAUCGAGAUAGCACCCUUUGUUUAUAAGUACCAUUUGUUUCCUCGGCGGGUCUGUCUGGACCCGCCGCUAGGACCCCCUAAAAACCUUUGUAGUUGCAGUACCUUCAGUAAAUGAUAAAAAAUAUCA